Molecule: non-coding RNA, 453 nt
Organism: Bombina bombina (fire-bellied toad)
Lineage: Eukaryota; Metazoa; Chordata; Amphibia; Anura; Bombinatoridae
Source: the annotation of a RefSeq genome assembly
CAUUUAUAGAAAAUAACAAUGUUCACAUCAAUAACACUGUAUGAGUUGUGUGUCAUUGUCCUAUACAUAUCUCAGGGAUGCAUGACAGAUGUGGUUUUAAAACAGAAACUAUCAGAAAUUGCAAAGGUUGGGUCAUCUAUUGAAUUAGAGUGUGUGGUUAGUGGAUAUAAUAUUAAUGAUCACCAUAUGUAUUGGAUACGCCAAGCUUAUGGGUCAGAAACACUUGCUUGGUUGGCAGCCUUCAGAACUGGUUAUGAAACCUAUAUUGCAGACAGUUUCAAGGGGAGAGUCACCCCUUCAACAAGUGGUUCUACAGCUCUUCUGAGGAUCAACCAGCUGUCAGAUUCAGACUCUGCCAAAUAUUUCUGUGCAAGAUACACAGUGAUAAAUCUGAAUCUGAGCACCAGGAAAUAUAUAUUUAUACAAAGACAAUUUCAAUUUCAAAUGUCAUAG